RNAcentral lists this ribosomal RNA (497 nucleotides) under uncultured bacterium. RNAcentral's name for it is "partial 16S ribosomal RNA". It matches the Rfam family "Bacterial small subunit ribosomal RNA", at positions 28 to 507 of the family's 1533-position model. The record is from RNAcentral.
GAUGAACGCUGGCGGCGUGCCUAAUACAUGCAAGUCGAGCGAACAGACGAGGAGCUUGCUCCUCUGACGUUAGCGGCGGACGGGUGAGUAACACGUGGAUAACCUACCUAUAAGACUGGGAUAACUUCGGGAAACCGGAGCUAAUACCGGAUAAUAUAUUGAACCGCAUGGUUCAAUAGUGAAAGACGGUUUUGCUGUCACUUAUAGAUGGAUCCGCGCCGCAUUAGCUAGUUGGUAAGGUAACGGCUUACCAAGGCAACGAUGCGUAGCCGACCUGAGAGGGGGAUCGGCGACACUGGAACUGAGACACGGUCCAGACGCCUACGGGAGGCAGCAGUAGGGAAUCUUCCGCAAUGGGCGAAAGCUUGACGGAGCAACGCCGCGUGAGUGAUGAAGGUCUUCGGAGCGUAAAACUCUGUUAUUAGGGAAGAACAAAUGUGUAAGUAACUAUGCACGUCUUGACGGUACCUAAUCAGAAAGCCACGGCUAACUACGUG